CGCAUUGCAAACAAUUGCAAAAUUGCAAAAUCUUAGUGGCCUGCAGCAAAAAGCAUUUAUUUCUCUCAUCUAGGCAGGGCUUGGCUGGACAGCCGUGCUGACCUUGGCUUGGACUAGCUCACACACCUGCUCCGUGGGUCUCCCAUCAUUCUAGUGGACCCAGUGGGCAGCCCGGAUAUGUUCUUCUCAUGUCAAUGGCAGAGGCAGGAGAGCAAGGAAGCCCAGCCAAUUCAACUAGAGAGAAAUUGAGAAGAAGCAUCCACUGAAGUAUCACAUGGCUUCUUAGAAUUUAUUACACAUUGUUAUUGGGUCACAGUAUGUGAAAACAUGGAGACCGAGAAUACAGAACUGUGUAGAAGUGAAUGAGUCUGCCACCUCUCCUUGUACCUAUCCACUGUGAAACAAGGGCGUUCAUGCACACGUUACUGUAAAUGCCCUGGAGGCCUUAUGAAUAAUCAUUGGAGCAGUAUCUGCUGCAAGAUAACAUUGUGCUUUAUUUUUGCCUUUAAGUAAAAGGAAUCUGAAAUGAAACAAUCUUCAUUUCAGAUAUAAAUCAGCCCCAUAAACUUGAAGCUAACCAGAGAUCCUGAGGCAUUCUCAUUACAUGAAGUAAUUGGUUGGUUGCAAGACUCAAUUGUACUGCAAAGUCUUCCUGAGAAUUCAGAUGAGCAGUUAUCUGAAGAGUUACACAUCCUCUCACCCGACAUGUUGUAGGAACACAUAGCAUUGGCCAGUGGGGCGAAUGAUUUCUAGUCUCUGAUGAGGCCGGAACUCUCCAGCAAGUGGGCCUAUGACUGAGAAACCCCGGGCAACUUUGAGGUCCCUUUGAGGAAAUGAAACUUCAUCAAAAGCAGCCAAUAUUAAUGAUAUAUUGAGCAUCUAUUGUGUACAUCCAGUCUUCUAGUCUCCUUGGUGACAUUCAUCUUAUUUAACCUUCCCAGUAAAUCAGCAAAAUAAGUACCAUUACCCUCUUUUAUGGAAUAAAACUAAAACUCACAGAGGUUGAGUAACUUUUGAAUCACUCAACCUUCUCAACGCAUGAAGAAAAAAUCCGACCCAAACAAGAGACAUUGGAGAGCAGGUGCAAGAAACCUGAAUCUUAAUCCUGAAAUGGAGAAAGCCAAGAACGUCCUGAUCUAAACUACAGAGCCCUCAGAAGACUCAGAACAACACACAAGUUCUUGGGAAGCUACUGGAGGAUGUGUGUCAUCAAAACAAGGGAAUCAGCAGUCCUGUAUCUAUGAAGAAACAACUGGAAAUGAUAGGUUCUUGAAUUCCAAUUUUCUUUUAGGGCUCACAUUCUCCUCUGUUAAGUGCAUUCCCAAUCAGCUUCUUUCCUCAGGUUGGAAAGUGGCUGCCAGCAGCUACCAAGGUGCUAUCCUUCCAGAUUCACAUCCUGCAGAAAGAGCAUGAGAUUCCUGGCAGAAGAUUUGAGAUGCACUCAAAGUAUACUGGCUGAAGUCGGGCCUUAAGUCUGGAUGGGAUGCCCCUUUACCUGCUCCCAUUGGGUCCCGUACUUCCACCUUCAUAACACUAACAAUGCUAGAGUGUGGCAGCUCUCAAAGUGUCAUCCUCCAGCAGCAUCAGUAUCACCUACCUGGACAUUUCACAGAAAUGCAGAUUCUCUGGCUCCACCCACAUCCUCUGAAUCAGAAACUGUUGUGUGUGUGUGUGUGGGGGGGGGGGGUUCCGCAAGAUAUCUGUGCUUUAACAAGCCCUCUAGAAGAUUCUGAUGCACUCCCAGCUUGAGAACUCUACUUGCUCUAAUGCGAUUGCCUGUUUACUGUUGGGAUCCCACACCAGAUGUAAGCACCAGGAGGCAGGGCCGCAUCUGUUCCAUUCAACACUGUAUCUGCCAAGCCCACAGUAGGUGCUCUCCUAAUUCUAUGUGGUAGACUUCAAAAGACAAAGAAAGUGUUAUUCUCACUGGCUCUGGCCUGGACCAAGAGAAUGCAGAAAUGGCUUCCAUUCUGUGAGCUGUGACUUCUAACGUGGCCACAUAGCUGGUGGAGAGGUGACAACCUUCAUCUCCAAGGAUCCCCUGCACUGCUUGCUUUAUGCCCAGAGCAACCUCAUGCUGACAAGGACUGCACAGUUUUGAACACCCAUGCUCCAAUCAAAAGAAACCAAUUUGUGAGAGACGAUAUAAAUCCAUGAAUACUGCACUGAAACCUCUUUCUGCUCCAGGCAGAGAAGAUAAAUUACCACCCGAGUGAUAUAAAGUUAGUUUGAAUAUUUCAUUGGAUCAAAUGCAACAUGUCUCAGAACCUCUCCUCUUUUAAGUCAGAAUUAAAGAAUUGUUAUCAGGCAUAAUAAUAGACACUAUCAUUUGCAUACAUUUUAUCUCAAGAGACUUUUGAAGUUAUGCAAUACGCCAGUGGUUAAUUGUUCUUCACACUCCUGACAUAUCAAAUUACAGCUCAGAUGAGAGAGCAACCCAUUUGUGACUGGAAUGAUUGGCAGGAGCCUACAAGGAGAGCAUCUUCGAGGACUGAAGGAGGAGUAUCUUUUCAGGCUUUUCCAUGGAGACCUUGGAGACCAUGGGUUCUAGAUGGUUCUGUUAUAACAUGAUGGAGACUUCAUUAGUCUGGGUUCCUAGACGAGUGUGAAACACUUUCCCCACUGAUUGAAUUACAAUUAUAAUGUGAAAGAAAAAUAAAUCUUUAUUGUGUAAAACUACUGAAAUAUCAGAGUUACAAUACUGUAGUGUAGCAAAUUCUGGCAAAUACUUCCCAGCAUAUUUUCAAUUCCAUUUCAUUGGCCAAGCCUAGAUGAUAUGGUCACCUAUAGCUGAAGGAAGGCUGGGAAAGAUGGAAGAGGAUUGCUUAUUUGGCUUAAAAGAAUCAUGGUCUGCCCCCUGAGGCUGUUCUGACCCAGAAAAAAGUUGAGGUUCUAUUACACGGAAGCAAGAUAUUAGGUAGGCAACUUUCAGUGUCUGCCAAAUCACCAGACACUAUUCAGGCUAAACAAGGAAGAAGCUAAAGCCAAAAA
Molecule: long non-coding RNA, 2991 nt
Filed under: Homo sapiens (human)
Lineage: Eukaryota; Metazoa; Chordata; Mammalia; Primates; Hominidae
Description: HSALNT0351052
Source: RNAcentral